RNAcentral lists this unclassified non-coding RNA (402 nucleotides) under soil metagenome. Its description in RNAcentral is "partial contains 5.8S ribosomal RNA, internal transcribed spacer 2, and large subunit ribosomal RNA". The stretch from base 1 to 121 matches the Rfam family "5.8S ribosomal RNA", at positions 35 to 154 of the family's 154-position model. The record is from RNAcentral.
GAUGAAGAACGCAGCGAAAUGCGAUAAGUAAUGUGAAUUGCAGAAUUCAGUGAAUCAUCGAAUCUUUGAACGCACCUUGCACCCUUUGGCUAUUCCGAAGGGUAUGCCUGUUUGAGUAUCAUGAACACCUCAACUCUUAUGGUUUGCCAUGAUGAGCUUGGACUUUGGGGGUCUUGCUGGCCUGUGGUCAGCUCCUCUCAAAUGGAUUAGCUUGCCAGUGUUUGGUGGCAUCACAGGUGUGAUAACUAUCUACGCUUGUGGUUUUCCACCAGGUAACCUUCAGCAAUGGGGGUUCGCUGGGGCUCAUACAUGUCUCUCCUCAGUGAGGACAGCUCUUUGAACGUUUGAUCUCAAAUCAGGUAGGACUACCCGCUGAACUUAAGCAUAUCAAUAAGCGGAGGA